AUUGAACGCUGGCGGCAGGCUUAACACAUGCAAGUCGAGCGGGGUGAUGGUGCUUGCACUAUCACUUAGCGGCGGACGGGUGAGUAAUGCUUAGGAAUCUGCCUAUUAGCGGGGGACAACAUCUCGAAAGGGAUGCUAAUACCGAAUACGUCCUACGGGAGAAAGCAGGGGAUCACUUGUGACCUUGCGCUAAUAGAUGAGCCUAAGUCGGAUUAGCUAGUUGGAGGGGUAAAGGCCUACCAAGGCGACGAUCUGUAGCGGGUCUGAGAGGAUGAUCCGCCACACUGGGACUGAGACACGGCCCAGACUCCUACGGGAGGCAGCAGUGGGGAAUAUUGGACAAUGGGGGGAACCCUGAUCCAGCCAUGCCGCGUGUGUGAAGAAGGCCUUAUGGUUGUAAAGCACUUUAAGCGAGGAGGAGGCUCUUUUGGUUAAUACCCAAGAUGAGUGGACGUUACUCGCAGAAUAAGCACCGGCUAACUCUGUGCCAGCAGCCGCAGUAA
RNAcentral lists this ribosomal RNA (503 nucleotides) under uncultured bacterium. RNAcentral describes it as "partial 16S ribosomal RNA". It matches the Rfam family "Bacterial small subunit ribosomal RNA", at positions 30 to 523 of the family's 1533-position model. The record is from RNAcentral.